GAAAAUACCCUUAACCUCCUAACUAUUUACCUAUUAGUUACCAAAAUUUUACACUUUACCCCCCCAACCGAAUUUGCAGCCUAAUUAUUACCAUAUAUUUUGUUGAGAUUUUUAUUCCUUGUAAUCUUCAUUUGAUUGGCCAAAGAUCUAUGUAAUUAUCACAAUAGGGUAGGAGGUUCGUGGUUCCAAGAUUUCUCAUCAUAUCAUUAGAACCACACUCCAAACUCACCUCUCUCUCUCAAACUCGGUCCCCCCCUAGCUGAAUUCACAUUCACCACCACUUAAUCAUUCAUCUUCUCCAACUACAAGUCCAUUUCCAAGCUUGAAGAUCAUUCAUGAAGGUAGCAAGUUGAAGGAACUUCAAGGAAGCUUUGUUCUAAUCUUAUCAUCAUCUUUUCUCUUCAUCUUUGCACUAGAUUCAUCCCUAGCCUUAAGCUAGUAGUAGUCGUGUUCGCUGAGGAGAUUUGGGUUACGAGUACCGAAGACGCAAUAUUAGUUAGAAUGAAGUAAGUAUCGACUGAUGACUAAGCGAAAAUCAAAAUGGACAAGAAAAAUUAUACCGAACACAAGACGAGUCGAAUCGAUGUUUCUCCGGAAAGUCUCUGUUUGAUCUCUUCGAACUCCGGUGACUCGUUAUCGAACAUGGAACGAAAUGACGUCGACGUGAUCCCGGUCAUGAACCCCCGACGUCGUCCUCGUGACUCCAACGAGUUGCGGUUCCUCCGGAGUUGUUGACGCGCACCAGAUGAUUCCGAAGGCUUGGUUGCAAGUUCUCCGGCGGCGUCGGCUUCAUUCCGGCCGCGUGUUACCGAACACAGGGGUGAGAGGGUGUGUCGGAUGGUUGUGUAAUGGAGAGCCGAUGGUUUGUUUUUUUUUGUUUAUAGAAGAGAAGGUUGGGUGCAGAUGUCGUUCAUAUAGCGUUUCUCAAGUCCGACGCUUGGUAGUGGGUCAUUAUUGAUUUAAUUUGGCUUCUUUGUAGGCUUGUAAGUUGUAAUGGUGUUUGAACUAAAUACAACAACCUCAUGGUUCUUUGCUGUCAUCAUUUGGGCGGCAAAAGCAUUCGAAAGGUUUUAAUAUAAUCAAGUGUAUAACAUUAAAGUUGGUAGAACAAACCGACUUCCAAGAUGCGGCGCUGGUUCUUUUUUUUUUCAAAAUGAAAGUUUGAUAAUUUGCACAAU
This is a long non-coding RNA of Helianthus annuus (common sunflower), 1178 nucleotides long. RefSeq lists it as uncharacterized. The transcript is spliced from 3 exons. The record is from RefSeq and is a predicted model, not a curated record. NCBI's taxonomy places the organism in Eukaryota, Viridiplantae, Streptophyta, Magnoliopsida, Asterales, Asteraceae.